AUAUUUUCCAUAUCCCAAACCAAUACAUAUUAUUCCAGCAAAAGGAAAGAAAAAAAACAAUUUAAAAUUCGUCAGUCUUUUUGGCUCUUCCUGUUGUUGUUCGUUACCAACAGUCAUCAAUUAUGGCCAGGCCAUGGAUGGCAUAGGAUAGGCCGUUCCGGCUCCCUCUGACCCGCCUUCGGGUUACAUUUGCGUCCCCGUACCCGUUCCAUUCCACCAACAAAAGUGUCACUGUCGGAAGCGCCCAACUAACUAAACUAUGCAAAUUGGUUAUUUUAUGGCCGAAACCCUUUUGUUGUGCGGUACGGCGAGCGGGCAGGAUAACACGACAACGCGGCAGACAAUGCUGCAACAAAAAAUAAAGGAGGCAGUGGCAUAGAAUUGUAUUAUACCAACAACAGCAAAAAGGGAAAGCAAGGACAACGGCAACUAAUGGCACAAUUUAACCAACUAGCUGGAUGUCGGAAUACUGGGUAUCCUGGGAUCCUAGGGAUUCUUGCUGGCGAAUGCGGAUGCGGAUAUGUGAGAAUUCAAUGAAAUGGAAACUAACAAAAUCAAAUUGAUGGCAAAAAAAGCAACACAAAAAAAAAGCAAGAACAAGCACAGGAGUAAGCUUUAAAGGACACUCAGAGGCGCUGCCGACCUCGACGCAGACUCAGACACGGACUCGGAUGAAAAGAAAUCAGCGCAAAUCAAACGAAGCAGCGCAGCAGGAAAAAUUGGGCCGGCACCAGGCGCUGGACUUAGGCAAAAAAUGUGGAAAAGCGGAAACGCAGCUACAAAAGGGCGGCUCCGUAGCAGCCUCCAUUCCCCUCCUCCUGCUCUCUGCAUCCAUAGAAACAACAAAAGAUGCCGGGAAUUGCCGAAGGAGCCAUGACAUGGAACAAUGCCUCUGACUCGGCCUCUCGCUCUGCCAUUGGGCCGGAGAUGAGCGGUGGGCGGAUGGGCUAGGGCUGACGUGGGUGUGUGGGGCAAUGGGGUGCAUAACUCGUGCCCCUGCUUCCGUUCAAUUUGAAGCCUGUUUGUUGGCCAAGAAAUGCGGAAACGAGCAGUUGGCGGCCGAUUGGAACAAUUGCAGCGAAGGAAUCAGCAGCGGUAGUGGCAGCGGCAAUGGCCGUGACAGGAAAUCAAGACGCAGCCGUGGCAAAAAUUAAACAAACAUGGCCGAAAACGGAAAUGGCCAAGAAAGAGCAAGAGAGGGAGAGAAAGAGAAGCAGUGGUGGUGGUGUAGCCACUUGGCCGAUCCUAUCCAUUGUUUGAAGUUAUUAUUGGUGCAGUCAAUCGAGUCGAGACGAAUCCGUCUGCGGACCCAAUCAUCGGUCGAACUUGUUAUUGCCUUUCCCCCAUAGGAUAUCGCCUGAUUUUUCCCUUUUUUUUCCCUGAGCACAUCGAGACUCUAUAUAAUUUUUGCUCUCCACUUCUGUUUGUCUUUCCUUUUUCGCAGUUGGCAUGUGAGCGUAUAAUUUGUGAAAAUUAUUUGCUCUGCUGUCGUCCUGCAGAAAGGAGCCCCUUGAUCGGACUCCCGUUUCUCGUCCCUGGUUGGCCCGGAAGGGCGGAAAAUAUUUUUUCAUCAUUGCAUCGCAGUAGCCGACGGACCGACUGACGGACUGACGGACCGACCGACCGGUCAGGGACGACGACAGGAAGCGUUGCGGUCGCCGCCUCCAGCCAAAAGGGUUUAAAUUUUAAAUUAAGCUCUUUUAUUGCUGGCUAAAAGGGGGUGGGCGCGGAGCGAGCAUCCCGGGCAAUACCUCUUGCGGUGCGGUGCGAUGAUUGUCAAGCCCUUUAAUUGCCUCAAGUGACCCAACGGAGCAACGAAGGAAUGGAUGGACUUUAAUUGGACCAGAGAUGAUUUUCCGAUCAGUCCUUCAAGUGGACAGGCUCUUCUGCCGGCUGCUAAGCCACUUGGAAAGCCCUGAAGAGGAAUGGAUACUAAAUAUUUGUCGGCCAACUUUAUAUUUUAAUCAAGUUUAUGAAAAUGAACGCCUCUGCCAAGACAAACUUCAGACAAUUUCACGCCUCUACUUGAACUGUGGCCAUUUGAAAGUCAGUGAGCCAACCACAAGGGCCCAGGACUCUCCGUUCCAGCCAAUUCAUUACAGAAAGUGGAAUGGGUGGGAUAUUCGGUGUGUACUCAGGGUUGACAACAUGCUUCCAGCCAUUAUGCCAAAGCGAAAAGAGCUAGGACUACAGUCUACAGGCAAAAAAAGAAAAGGACAUUUCCCCCUCCCGAACAAAGCAACAAAGAGAAUCGGGAAUGAGUAUCCUCGUAAUGGAGUGAGAGGCGCUGAUGGGGCGCUGAUUUUAAUGCAUGAAAGAAGCGACAGCGAGGCAAAUACGAGUUGGCGGUUACACUGCCAGAGGCCACACAGCAGUGGCCAUAAUGAGAGCUACUACUGCCACAUCGAUGACCGUGACCAAGCCAGAGGGGAGAACGGAAGAGGGCUCCGAUUCCCACCAAAAAUUAUCAACGAAAAAUUUCACCAACGAGAGCUGCCGCCGCCAAAAGCUUCUUGGGCGUCUGGUCGGAAGUCUGGUAAUUGGAAAUGAUGCUCGAGUCCCACUCAAGUUGCGGGCGAGGGAUUAAUGAUGCUGCAGCCUGAGAUUGUUGUCCAGCAGCAGAGAAGGUUGACGAUAAUGAUGGUUGACUGCGACAACGUGUUGCCGUUAAAUGAAUUGAAUGUGAUGCCUUUUAGCUGAGAUUAAGCAGCAGCAAUUCCAAUGGCAACUAACUCAUUCAGGCAACAGCAAAUUUAACUAUGGAAUGCUAGAGUCAGAGCCCGGAGGCCAGGGCCCGGGGCUUUGAGCUCGGAGCCAGACUGCAUUCCAAGCCCUGAAAUGGCAUUUCAUCUUUUUAAUUGAAUUUUAAUUUGUUUAGAAUGCGCUUAGAGGCAUCGCACGCCAAGUGGCCAAGUGCUUCUAGCCAAGUCCGGAGCCCGAAGUCCUGUGUCCGUAACCGCCCUCACUUAAUUUACCAUGCAACCCAUCCACACAGCCCGAGCACUACUUGCAGUUGUUGUCUGGAAGCUUUUCACAAAUCGAUUAAAUUUAAUUUGUUUUCCUUGCCGGCUUUCUCCGCUGCCAGUCAUCAUCAUCGUCUCUUUUUUUGCACUUCCUCUGUACCGUACUUUCCUUUCCGUUCCGUUUGGGGAAAAGCUUAGUUUUUAGCAGUAAUUUCAUAAUGAGUUGACUUUAUUGCUGGCCAGGAGACCAGGACCAGACCGAGUCCCAGGCGCAAACACUGUCCCACCCUGUUCCAGGGCCUGUGCCAGUGCCAGUGCCAGAUGCAGAUGGAAAUACUCGCCCAUUGCUGUUGGCAAAUAAAACGGUUCACGCCAACAUUAAGCAACUAUGAAGUGUGGAAGCUAACGAAGGGAAAACUUCAAGUCGGAAAUAACAGAG
This 3402-nucleotide long non-coding RNA is filed under the name Drosophila guanche. Lineage: Eukaryota; Metazoa; Arthropoda; Insecta; Diptera; Drosophilidae. The record is from RNAcentral.